UGUAAGCUUGUGUAGUCAAAUUAAUCUAUGAUCAUAUGCUAUCCAUUUGUUGUUUGUAUGCUGUUCUUUGUAUGGCAUUUUAUUUGAUUAUAAACCAAUGAUAUUAGGCCACUCUUGGCCAUGAUUACAGACACCUGUGUCUUUUGACACUAUAUAAACAAGUCAUCCCGCAGUGUUUGUGAUUAUACCCUGAUGAAGACAGCUUGGCUGUCGAAACAUUGAUAGUUCUGGAACCACAACCAUGAAAUGAGGGGCGCGGCCCGUCAGAGCCCUAUGGAGGAGUUGGUGGCUGCCUGGUACUCUGGAAUGCUGUUGUUCAGGCCUCUAGUUUCCUGAGACAUCCUCUCUUCUAGACAUUCCUCCAGCCAUGAAAAUGUAUCUCUAUCUAUUACAACCACAGAGGAGAUUUGUUUGUGUAUAUGUGUACACUGCCCCCACUUGGGGAUUAAACCAUUUUUUCAAUUUUC
This is a long non-coding RNA of Oncorhynchus keta (chum salmon), 467 nucleotides long. RefSeq lists it as uncharacterized. NCBI's taxonomy places the organism in Eukaryota, Metazoa, Chordata, Actinopteri, Salmoniformes, Salmonidae. The transcript has 2 exons. The record is from RefSeq and is a predicted model, not a curated record.